CCUAUUACGAAGGCGAACAGGUUGUGCACCGCUAGAGGCCAAACGAGCACACUCCGCUACGCCUGUACCUUACGUUCCGACCGUUCCUCUACCCGUUUUCGUUCUUCUUUUGUAGGUGGGUGGCUCAACGGAGAACUAGUUCCUCGGCUACCACUUACCUCCUCGGCGGCGGCUCACGGCGACGGGAUGCAGUCCACCACGAAUUUCGCUUCCGGUUGUGAGCCAGAGGCACGAGGCAAGUUCUAAGGCCGCAGCCAACGCACGACCAACCCCCAGCGAGGCCAGGUAGCGGUUCCGAUCCACAAACACCUUAACGGACGGAGGAAACGUUGACGUUGCCGUCGCGGUCGUCUCAUUCCUUCCGAUUCCGAUCCGUCUCGUUCCUUUCCUUUCCUACCGGUACGGCGCCCCGGACCGCCGCAUGUACCACCUGUACCACACCCGCCACGAGCGGCCCACCCACAGCCGCACGGACGACCAGCGGUUGCUCUAGCGGGCGCCGUACGCCCGGCCCCUCUAACCGGGGAAGCAGCACCCCACUUUUUAGAGCAAAGCCCAGGAGGGAAGACUAAGUAAGGAAGUACGUCUAUAGAAAAACCGCUUAGGCAGGUACCUAUGUAACGUGAUGUGACAUGUCUCAGGUAUUUAGUUGUUAUCACAAGUCGACUUACCGAAGCCGGUAAUUGUCUUCACUGUCUAAAGAUCUACUACAAAAUAAAAGAGAGGAAAGAAAGGUGUUAAGAAGACAAGACAUAUCAGUACAUUUCUUAAAUAAAAGGAAAGUGUAAUAUCAAGAGAUUUCCAUACACGUCGACGUAUUCUUACCCAGUAGAAUACAAGAAGCGGGGAGAAAAUAAAUACUAGUUCCCGAUCAAAACGUCGUAGGUAUGUUAGACGACGUACCGAUCGUUGAGACCUCUUUCUACCCUCUUAAGUUAGCGAACCAGCUGAGAUGAUUACAUCGGUACAUCCGUUGUUCCUAUCGAUCUGUAUAAAGGUCCUGUACAUUACAAUCAGACAGUAUGCUGUAGACAUAUGAUUUUGUUUUAUUUUUGAUGUCCAAGUCUUUGUCCUGCUCUAAUGUUAUGUCAUGUACAGAAACAGGAUCGGUAGUUAAACACAUUAGACUAGUCCAACAAGUUCCGGUCAAACCGUCUUUAAUGUGACUAUACUUCAAGGUAUGUACAGUUUCCAUAUCACUACAAAAAAAGUAUCCGACCAACAAGUACCGUUGGCUCUCUACACUUCAAACGAAUAGGGGCUGCCAGCAUUAACAAACAUCUGUAGACGUCCAGAGAUGUCUAGAGAGUCGGACCGUCAAUAUAGUAGGUGACACAAACCGUGGACGUUCAUGUUCCAAGCUCACUCUUGCCUAGUACUCUGCGUAGCUACCUUAUUGUCUAGGUAGCAUGAGGUGUGUAUGUUCGUGUUCAAGUCGUCUAGCACAUCCACCUCUUCACCUCAAAAAAACAAGGUGCACCUCUUCAUCUCAACACUCCCUUAUUGAGGUGGGUGUGCCAAGUUUAGGUUCACGAGUUUAACGUACAUGCGUUCACGUAAAACCAUGUUUAAGUCACUGUACGAGAGUAAAUAGUAUAGUUAAGAUUCGUACCUUAAUCCCCUACACAAGUGCACCCACAAAUGCCACACUAACACGUACAUGUCACAACACAUACGGAUACAUUUACGGA
RNAcentral lists this ribosomal RNA (1691 nucleotides) under Triticum aestivum (bread wheat). RNAcentral describes it as "partial small subunit ribosomal RNA". The record is from RNAcentral. Lineage: Eukaryota; Viridiplantae; Streptophyta; Magnoliopsida; Poales; Poaceae.